Molecule: regulatory RNA element, 242 nt
Organism: Enterococcus dispar ATCC 51266
Lineage: Bacteria; Bacillati; Bacillota; Bacilli; Lactobacillales; Enterococcaceae
Rfam family: T-box leader
About the family: Uncharged tRNA acts as the effector for transcription antitermination of genes in the T-box leader family. T-boxes are found upstream of many aminoacyl-tRNA synthetase genes and some amino acid biosynthetic genes usually in Gram-positive bacteria.
Source: Rfam
AAAAUUUCGUUGAUGAGGAAAGUAAGUUUGGCGUACAUUUUAGAGAGACACUGGUUGGUGAAAAGUGUUAUGGACAAAAAGCUGAAAAUGGCCUAAGAGAAAAAGUUUGCCGAUAAGUAGGCAGCUUCGGAUGUUUCACCGUUAAAAGAAGCACCAAUCUUUAUGAUAAAUUUCAUAAACGUUGGAUAGAGGAAAGCAAUUGCUUUUGAACUAAGGUGGUAACACGAUUAUUCGUCCUUUUA